CACUUGUUUCAAAACCCUAGAAAAUAACGUAACUGGUUCAGCACUGCACUUCAGGUGUUUCACCUUCGCCCUUUGACGUGGUUUACCGGUGUUUUUGGCCAUAAGGCUUUGGCUUUGGUGACCCAUUCUGCUUUGCUUGCUCUGCCUUUGGGUUUUCACGGGCUGUAGACGUUUGCAGACUCUGCAAUCAGUUGCAUUGCUGCUUAUGCUCUGGCUGAACCCUAAGGACGAAUAUAGAGUGAUCAACUUUCCAGAGUAGAGGUACCUCCCCACAAACAAGUUGAUUGAGGUUAGAGGUGGUCAAGAUGAUGAUGAGGAAAAGAGAAGAACUGCAAUUCACCAAGAAGCCCUACAUUGAAGAUGUGGGCCCUCGGAAAAUGGGCCUCCAAACAAGACCAAAUCUUGUGCCACAUGCAAUGGAGAUUUCAAAGAAUGUCUGUGGAUACUUGAAUCUUGCUUUACCAGUUUUUAAUGUUGGAUAUCUACCCAUCAUUGUGGACAUUUUGAAAUGCAUUUGCAAGUGCCCGUUGGAUAGGGAAUCAUGGAUUUUCAAUUGGCAUCGAUGAUGUCCAACCAGGAAAGGAGUUAGUUGAAAAGAAGAAAAUGGAAAUAGAGAAGGGGAUUGGGACAUGUGAAACGUAUAUAGCUUCAUUUAACAAGGGGGAACUUGAGCUACAAACGUUCAAAAGGCUCAGUAAUCAAUAUUAGUCAGAUGAUUGCAUGUGUCGGCCAGCAAUCUGUUGGGGGUCGUCGUGCUCCAAAUGGAUUCAUGGAUCGGAGUCUUCCUCAUUUUCCUACAAAAUCAAAAUUUCCAGCUGCUAAAGGAUUCAUCGCCAGUUCAUUUUAUGAUGGUUUAAGUGCUACUGAGUUUUUUUUCCACAUUAUGGGUGGAAGAGAAGGCCUUGUAGACACAGCGGUUAAAACUGCUGACACAGGGUAUAUGUUACGGAGGCUUAUGAAGGCUCUGGAGGAUCUUUCAAUUUUGUACGACAGAACCGUGCGAAAUUGAGUGAAUGUUUAUCACACUUUUAUGAAUAUUCAUUAGUAUGUGGUUCAUUGCCUUUAAAAAAAUUGUCAUUUUUGUGUUCUUUGCAUUUCAAGUAUUCUUCCCUUGUGCAAAUAAGUCAUCAAGGCUAGAGAACCAAAAUAGGUAUUAAUUUUCUGUGAUCUUCCCUCAAAAUGUGUGGAGAAC
Ipomoea triloba (trilobed morning glory) is the source of this 1192-nucleotide RNA transcript. It is a transcript of the gene named DNA-directed RNA polymerase III subunit 1-like, with no coding region annotated. The record is from RefSeq and is a predicted model, not a curated record. Lineage: Eukaryota; Viridiplantae; Streptophyta; Magnoliopsida; Solanales; Convolvulaceae. The transcript has 6 exons.